CUUUCGUAGCCACUGUAGUACAAUAUUUCCUCUAAUAAUAGCACAAUACUUAAUAAUUAAUUUCACUUUUAAACACUUUAUUUCUCACGGCGUCUGAGCUGUCAGUUUCUCACCAUGGCGGUCUAUAUCAGUGUUGCCGCAGACAAAUUUGUGAAUGUACCUCAAAAAAUAGAAAAACGUACCUCCUGGCAAAAAAAUGUACUUUUUUAAAAAAAUGGCCGACAAGAGCUAGUCUAUAGGAAAUUUUAUUGAAGCAAAAACAAUAAAAACAUCAUUCAUUUUUUUUUUAACGUUAUUAGAAAAAUUUUUAAUAUUUUUUUCAAAGUCUACAAUAACAAUGGGUUUACCUCCGUUUACAUUGAGCGCGCGCGUGCGCAUACUAUACAAUUUGAUUAGCUCAAGAAAUUUUUAAGAAAAAACGAAAACGUACUU
Long non-coding RNA from Aphidius gifuensis, 432 nucleotides. RefSeq lists it as uncharacterized. The record is from RefSeq and is a predicted model, not a curated record. The transcript is spliced from 2 exons. NCBI's taxonomy places the organism in Eukaryota, Metazoa, Arthropoda, Insecta, Hymenoptera, Braconidae.